CCCUUAGAUGUCCUGGGCCGCACGCGCGUUACACUGAUGCAUUCAACGAGCUUAUAACCUUGGCCGAGAGGCCUGGGCAAUCUUGUUAACGUGCAUCGUGAUAGGGAUAGAUUAUUGAAAUUAUUAAUCUUGAACGAGGAAUUCCUAGUAAACGCAGAUCAUCAAUCUGCAUUGAUUACGUCCCUGCCCUUUGUACACACCGCCCGUCGCACCUACCGAUUGGAUGGUCCGGCGAAGCCUCGGGAUUGUGGUUCUUGCCGCUUUGUUGUGGCGUGACCGCGAGAACUUGUCUAAACCUUAUCAUCUAGAGGAAGGUGAAGUCGUAACA
RNAcentral lists this ribosomal RNA (328 nucleotides) under uncultured eukaryote. RNAcentral's name for it is "partial 18S ribosomal RNA". It matches the Rfam family "Eukaryotic small subunit ribosomal RNA", at positions 1470 to 1796 of the family's 1831-position model. The record is from RNAcentral.